UACGAAGGGGGCGAGCGUUGUUCGGAUUUACUGGGCGUAAAGGGCGCGCAGGCGGCGCAUUUUGUCAGGCGUGAAAGCCCCGGGCUUAACCUGGGAACUGCGUUUGAUACGGAUGGGCUAGAGUUCGGGAGAGGAGAGUGGAAUUCCCAGUGUAGAGGUGAAAUUCGUAGAUAUUGGGAAGAACACCGGUGGCGAAGGCGGCUCUCUGGACCGAGACUGACGCUGAGGCGCGAAAGCGAGGGGAGCAAACAGG
Molecule: ribosomal RNA, 253 nt
Filed under: uncultured bacterium
Lineage: Bacteria
Description: partial 16S ribosomal RNA
Rfam family: Bacterial small subunit ribosomal RNA
Source: RNAcentral